This 253-nucleotide ribosomal RNA is filed under the name uncultured bacterium. RNAcentral describes it as "partial 16S ribosomal RNA". It matches the Rfam family "Bacterial small subunit ribosomal RNA", at positions 524 to 776 of the family's 1533-position model. The record is from RNAcentral.
GACAGAGGGUGCAAGCGUUGUUCGGAAUUAUUGGGCGUAAAGCGCACGUAGGCGGCGACGUAAGUCGGAUGUGAAAGCCCUGGGCUCAACCGAGGAAGUGCAUCCGAUACUGCGUUGCUUGAGUGCCGGAGAGGGUGGUGGAAUUCCCAGUGUAGAGGUGAAAUUCGUAGAUAUUGGGAGGAACACCAGUGGCGAAGGCGGCCACCUGGACGGACACUGACGCUGAGGUGCGAAAGCGUGGGUAGCAAACAGG